This is a long non-coding RNA of Pan paniscus (pygmy chimpanzee), 242 nucleotides long. The record is from Ensembl. NCBI's taxonomy places the organism in Eukaryota, Metazoa, Chordata, Mammalia, Primates, Hominidae.
ACUGUUGCAUCACUCUUACAACUACCCUUCUUGCAAUCCCCUUGCCUUUACAUUUCAGAGGUGCUUGGAAUGCUGAUGGAGUUGAAUCAGCAAGAGGGCCUGACUGAGAAGGCAGAGGAUUUCUGACUCCACAGUUGGCCCUGCCGAGUUGGAGGUGCCCUUCCUGCCUCAACAUCCACCAACUAACUACCGGAGAGCUUUGGGCUGGGGCCCAUCAAGCUUCCCAUCUACACAUUCAGCAC